RNAcentral lists this ribosomal RNA (253 nucleotides) under uncultured bacterium. Its description in RNAcentral is "partial 16S ribosomal RNA". It matches the Rfam family "Bacterial small subunit ribosomal RNA", at positions 524 to 776 of the family's 1533-position model. The record is from RNAcentral.
UACGUAGGGUGCAAGCGUUGUCCGGAAUUAUUGGGCGUAAAGAGCUCGUAGGCGGUUUGUCGCGUCUGCUGUGAAAACUCGGGGCUUAACCCCGGGCCUGCAGUGGGUACGGGCAGACUAGAGUGCGGUAGGGGAGACUGGAAUUCCAGGUGUAGCGGUGAAAUGCGUAGAUAUCUGGAGGAACACCGGUGGCGAAGGCGGCAUCCUGGACCGACACUGACGCUGAGGCGCGAAAGCUAGGGUAGCAAACGGG